RNAcentral lists this ribosomal RNA (478 nucleotides) under uncultured Peptococcaceae bacterium. RNAcentral's name for it is "bacterial SSU rRNA". It matches the Rfam family "Bacterial small subunit ribosomal RNA", at positions 908 to 1382 of the family's 1533-position model. The record is from RNAcentral. Lineage: Bacteria; Bacillati; Bacillota; Clostridia; Eubacteriales; Peptococcaceae.
AAUUGACGGGGACCCGCACAAGCGGUGGAGCAUGUGGUUUAAUUCGACGCAACGCGAAGAACCUUACCAGGGCUUGACAUCCCUCGCGAUUCGUGGAAACACGGAGUUCUAUGCUUCGGUAUAGACGAGGAGACAGGUGGUGCAUGGUUGUCGUCAGCUCGUGUCGUGAGAUGUUGGGUUAAGUCCCGCAACGAGCGCAACCCCUACUUUUAGUUGCCAUCAUUAAGUUGGGCACUCUAAAGGAACUGCCGGUGACAAACCGGAGGAAGGUGGGAUGACGUCAAAUCAUCAUGCCCCUUAUGUUCUGGGCUACACACGUGCUACAAUGGCCGGUACAGAGGGAGGCAAAGCCGUGAGGUGGAGCGAAUCCCAAAAAGCCGGUCUCAGUUCGGAUUGCAGGCUGCAACUCGCCUGCAUGAAGUCGGAAUCGCUAGUAAUCGCGAGUCAGCAUAUCGCGGUGAAUACGUUCCCGGGUCUU